CGCGUGGGAAUCUACCUAGUAGUUGGGGACAACCUGGUGAAAACCAGGCUAAUACCGAAUACGCCUACGGGGAAGAUAGCCUCUUCUUGAAAGCUUUCGCUAUUAGAUGAGCCCGCGUUGGAUUAGCUAGUUGGUGGGGUAAAGGCCUACCAAGGCGACGAUCCAUAGCUGGUCUGAGAGGAUGAUCAGCCACACUGGAACUGAGACACGGUCCAGACUCUUACGGGAGGCAGCAGUGGGGAAUAUUGGACAAUGGGGGCAACCCUGAUCCAGCCAUGCCGCGUGUGUGAAGAAGGCCUU
Molecule: ribosomal RNA, 300 nt
Filed under: uncultured Gammaproteobacteria bacterium
Lineage: Bacteria; Pseudomonadati; Pseudomonadota; Gammaproteobacteria
Description: bacterial SSU rRNA
Rfam family: Bacterial small subunit ribosomal RNA
Source: RNAcentral